Equus asinus (donkey) is the source of this 1907-nucleotide long non-coding RNA. Lineage: Eukaryota; Metazoa; Chordata; Mammalia; Perissodactyla; Equidae. The record is from Ensembl.
GACCCCUGGCUAUUUGGGGUCCCACAAGCUGGAAGACAGUGUUGGAAGAAGGGGCUCCACAAGACAGUCUCGGCUUCUGUGAAGCCAACCUCUUCCCUCCUUGUCCUCCCCUGACUCCAGAACUUGGGCCCAGACAGCCAAAGCCCAGGGGACAACGAGUGACUCAGACGCUUCCUGUUUUCUUGGCCACAGUGACAGAAGGAUGGAAACAGCCCUGAGCUGGGGUUCAUGGCUGAAGAGAGGGGGCCUGGAGAGAUGAGGAGCCUGGAGCUGUGGGGCCAGCCUGCCCUGAGAUGCGGGAGGAGUGAGCUGGGCAGAGCCACAUGGGGUGGUCUCCUGGCCUCGCUGGGUGGAAAUGAGGGUGGUUUGUUGGGUGGCCAGGUCCACAAAGCAGGGAGGACUUGGGGCCAGCGUUUCUUGAAAGGAGCCUUCAUAGAGAAAUGAAGACCCGAAGAAACAGGCCUGAGGAUUUCAAUGCUGGGUUUGCCGUGUGGGAACACCAGAGGGCAGGAAGACGAGGUGCCAUAUUUCAGGCCUAGUGAGUCCUGAAGCCCAUCUGGACCAGUGGCAGCCAUCUUAGAAGCCGCCUACCAUACAGCACAUGUGAAAUGUUGACGAUCUUAAGUGAAACCAAGACAACAGGAUGCAAAACUGCAUACACAGGAGGAUGACAUCUGAGUAAGAACACAACAGGGAAAAAGAUGGGAAGAAAUUUGUUACAAACACAUACGCACACCUAAACACCAAAUGUGGUCUGCAUGAUAAAGCACCUUUUUAAAUUAGGUCUUUUGCUUUUCCACACAUGCAUCCCCCCCACCCCAAUUAUUUAUUCUCAAAUGUUAAGUAACUAAUUUUCUGGCCCUGGGGGCCAAGGGGCUGGGUAGGAACAAGUCCAGGCCCCACCAUCUGUCCUUGAGGCUGUCUGAGCAAGAAGCAGCUAUAAAUUCUCACACUGGGACAGCCUCAGGGAUCUAUUCCAGGCAGCACUAACCACCUCUGAUCUUGCUGCUAUUCCUGGGUCUAUUGGAGCCUGAGGCGUUGGGUUUGGGGGUGACCCUGAGGGCAGCAUUAUUUGGGGAAGAGUUGGCAUAGAGGAAGCGGCAAGGAGUGGAGAGAGAGAGAGGAAGUGACCCAGAGAGGCAGAGAAAGCAGUGGACAGGGUGGAAAAACACCUGAAAGUUGGAGUCUCAGACCCUGAAGUGCCUGUCACCUGAGUGUGACUCUUUCAGGCCUCAGUUUCCUCAUCCGUAGAAUGCGGUGAAGUUAAGUCAUAUUGCCCUUCCUCGUUCAACAGGGUUGAGUGAGUUGAUUAUGCACAGAAAUACCCUCUGUAAACGGUAAAGCUCUGGACCAGUGAUGGUUUCCUCAGGGAUUAACUAGAGCAAAUAUGCCUCCGUCUAGCCACUGAGCUCCCAGCAGGAGUCCAGCCCCUCCCCAACCACGGGCAGCAGGCCUUGGUGGCUCCCACAUACUGAGCCACAGGUCCACUCUCAUCUCUUACUAGUUACGUUGGUUAAAUGUUGACGUUGAAUACGCUUCAGUUGAAAAGAAUGAGGUGACCUCUAAUGAAGGCUCAUUUGGCAACAGCUAUCAAAAUCACAAGUGACUCAGCAAUUCCACUUUGAGGAAUAAAUACACACACAGGUAUGAAAUUACGUGUCCAGGCACAUUCAUUGUAGCAUUCUUUGUGAGAGCAAUGCAUUGUAAAGAAAAAAAUGUCCCUCCGCAGGGGACCGGUAGAUCAAUAUGGAACAUCAUACAAUGGAAUGCUGUGAAGGCAUUAAAAUGAAUGAGGCAGCGCUGGGUGCACUGAUCCAGAAAGAUCUCCAACAUGUAUUAUCAAAUGAAAAAAAGCAAGUUGCGAAACAAUAUUACCUAUCUAUCGCCACUAACGUAGAAAAUCAAAC